GACGGACGCUGGCGGCGUGCUUAACACAUGCAAGUCGAACGCUGAAGCUCAGCUUUUGUUGGGUGGAUGAGUGGCGAACGGGUGAGUAACACGUGAGUAACCUGCCUCCUUCUUUGGGAUAACGCCCGGAAACGGGUGCUAAUACUGGAUAUUCACUGGUCUUCGCAUGGGGGUUGGUGGAAAGGGUUUUUCUGGUGGGGGAUGGGCUCGCGGCCUAUCAGCUUGUUGGUGGGGUGAUGGCCUACCAAGGCUUUGACGGGUAGCCGGCCUGAGAGGGUGACCGGUCACAUUGGGACUGAGAUACGGCCCAGACUCCUACGGGAGGCAGCAGUGGGGAAUAUUGCACAAUGGGCGCAAGCCUGAUGCAACGACGCCGCGUGAGGGAUGGAGGCCUUCGGGUUGUGAACCUCUUUCGCUCAUGGUCAAGCCGCAACAAUGGUUGUGGUGAGGGUAGUGGGUAAAGAAGCGCCGGCUAACUACGUG
Molecule: ribosomal RNA, 483 nt
Filed under: uncultured bacterium
Lineage: Bacteria
Description: partial 16S ribosomal RNA
Rfam family: Bacterial small subunit ribosomal RNA
Source: RNAcentral